UGCCAAAGCUCAGAACUGUACAAGGAC
This 27-nucleotide non-coding RNA is filed under the name Mus musculus (house mouse). The record is from RNAcentral. Lineage: Eukaryota; Metazoa; Chordata; Mammalia; Rodentia; Muridae.